RNAcentral lists this unclassified non-coding RNA (404 nucleotides) under Hevea brasiliensis (rubber tree). The record is from RNAcentral. Lineage: Eukaryota; Viridiplantae; Streptophyta; Magnoliopsida; Malpighiales; Euphorbiaceae.
UUCACUGACACCAUCCCUGAAUAUGAUAAUCUGGUCUGGCUUUCUUUUCCCUGAACUAGUAUAGAAGUCAAGUAGAAGCUCCCUCAUUAUGCCAUCAUCUUCAGUAUCAGAAAUACGCUUGUACAAAGAAUCGAUCAUCUCCACUUUUGGUGAUUGGGUACGCACUGCAGCUCGGUAACGAGAAAUCAAUGGCCACUGCCUGGAACUGACUACCGCAGCAAUGGAUGGAACAUCCGACUGUCCCGGAGAACCAUGUGAGACAUCCAUACCCAGAAUAAUUGUGGGAACCCUUGAAACCAUCGGAAUGGAUGGAGAAUGCUCAACUGCUAAUAAGGAAUUUAGCCCGCCAAGCUUAGCAUUGAUCUUCAAAAGCACAUUUGUGAGAUAUUGGUCAUUUACCCGCG